This 810-nucleotide long non-coding RNA is filed under the name Anas platyrhynchos platyrhynchos (common mallard). RNAcentral's name for it is "lncRNA (ENSAPLG00000027719.1)". Lineage: Eukaryota; Metazoa; Chordata; Aves; Anseriformes; Anatidae. The record is from RNAcentral.
CUUGUAUUUGCUUAUAAAAGUCUCAGUUACAUAUUCCUGAAACUUUCCAUGCCUUUCAGCUAAAUGAGUUGACACUAAGCAAAGAUACUAAAUAAUGUAGAAAAUGCUGAUUGUGCAUUUAUAAACCAGAAAGCACUAAUAACUUUACCCAGAUAAUUUGAUACCUAUAUAAUAAAUAAAAUAAAAUUAAUUUUAUUCUACUUUAUUUUGUAGAUUUUUCUGAAAAAAAAAAAAAAAGAAGAGAACUACGUUCAGCAAGCUUUCUGCAUAAGAUGGCAUUAAGGAUUGAAAUGAACUUUGGAAAAACAUUUAAAGUGGCUUGGCAAGAGAAGAUGUUGAGGCCAAAUGCAAGAAGAGGGUUGUAACCCUGGGGAGACAUAUGUACUGCUGUGCAGAGUCACAUAAGAGAACUGUCUGGCACCACGUGGAAACAGAGGGAAACUGUAGCUCUUUCUGAUGACCUGGGCCAGAUUCUUGUCUUCAGCAAAACAUUAUGGCACCAGUUAAACCAACAGAAUGAUGUCAGUUUACUGUGAGAAUCCAGAAUUAAACAAGACUCUGUUUGAAGCCUGUGCCUGUCUAUCAGAACAUAUGGAUAUAUACAACACCCUGAUGGUUCCAUGAAAUGUCUUGAAUACAACAUGCAUUCAGAACAUUCAGAGGGAUUUUAUUAGUCAACAGCUUUACAUUAAAACACUUGAAGAGCAGACUCUACGAUCUGUGAGGUGGGUUCUGCGAGUGAUUUGAGGAGGUGACAACUCCAGACUUCUAUUAUUUGGAUAAUUCUUCAUAGAAUUUGAAAUUUUUCCC